RNAcentral lists this ribosomal RNA (409 nucleotides) under Ixodes scapularis (black-legged tick). RNAcentral describes it as "partial 16S ribosomal RNA". The stretch from base 266 to 409 matches the Rfam family "Bacterial large subunit ribosomal RNA", at positions 2473 to 2617 of the family's 2925-position model. The record is from RNAcentral. Lineage: Eukaryota; Metazoa; Arthropoda; Arachnida; Ixodida; Ixodidae.
GGUAUUGAAAUAAGAUUUUAAAUGAGUGCUAAGAGAAUGAUUAAACAAUUAAAAACUUUCUUUAAUUAAAUAAUUAAAUUUAAUUUUUUUGGUGCAAAAGCAAAAAUAAAAUUUAGGGACAAGAAGACCCUAUGAAUUUUUAUUAUUAAUAUUAUGUAAUUAAAUUAUUAAUAAUUUAAUUGGGGUGAUAAAAAAAGAAUAAGUAUCUUUUUAAUUAUAAAAUAAGUUCCGUUUUUUAGCGAUUAAAUGAAAAAAAUACUCUAGGGAUAACAGCGUUAUAAUUUUGGAUAGUUCAUAUAGAUAAAAUAGUUUGCGACCUCGAUGUUGGAUUAGGAUUCUUUUUUGGUGAAGAAGUUAAAAAAAGAAGUUUGUUCAACUUUUAAAUUCCUACUUGAUCUGAGUUCAGACC